This is a non-coding RNA of Euryarchaeota archaeon TMED192, 308 nucleotides long. The record is from Rfam. Lineage: Archaea; Methanobacteriati; Methanobacteriota.
AACUGGGCUAGGGGGAGUGCUGGCGUGCUCUGUAUCACAAAUCGUCGAUAUGGUGACCCGAAGUCUGAGGGCGGCGGAGACGAUUUACGGAUGUAUCAUCGGUUGACUAAGAUGCCUCGCCCCCGAGAGAUCGAGGUUUGUGGAGGUCGAUUCCGGAGGGAAUCGAUGACCACACUGCCCGGGAAUCAGGUCAGGCGCGGAAGCGAGCAGCCCGACCGGGGACUCUGGAUGCCUCGGGACAGCGGGGCGGAGGAGAUCGAUGAAUUUGCAGACGUGAAAACGACCGUCCACCGAUGACGCGCCCACCA